UUGACCAAUCAGAGACGUAUCCUGCAAAAGUGGAAAAAAGAUCAACAAUAUAAGAUGAAUGAUUACAAAUACUUCAGAAAUCUGAAGUACAUUCAAGCGAAGAUUUGCAUCCCAAUGUAAUUACGUCAGGAUCUAAGGAGUUUCGACGAGAAAAGCAAGAGCAAUUGAGGAACGGAUCUAAAUCUAGGAAAAAAUAGAAAGUUACCAGAAGAGUGAAAACCGUUGUAA
This 228-nucleotide unclassified non-coding RNA is filed under the name Hevea brasiliensis (rubber tree). The record is from RNAcentral. Lineage: Eukaryota; Viridiplantae; Streptophyta; Magnoliopsida; Malpighiales; Euphorbiaceae.